GUGCCAGCAGCCGCGGUAAUACCGGCAGCCCGAGUGAUGGCCGAUCUUAUUGGGCCUAAAGCGUCCGUAGCUGGCUGCGCAAGUCCGUCGGGAAAUCCACUCGCCCAACGAGUGGGCGUCCGACGGAAACUGCACAGCUUGGGACCGGAAGGCUCGAAGGGUACGUUCGGGGUAGGAGUGAAAUCCUGUAAUCCUGGACGGACCGCCGAUGGCGAAAGCACGUCGGGAAGACGGAUCCGACGGUGAGGGACGAAAGCCAGGGUCUCCAACCGGAUUAGAAACCCCGGUAGUUU
RNAcentral lists this ribosomal RNA (293 nucleotides) under uncultured bacterium. RNAcentral describes it as "partial 16S ribosomal RNA". It matches the Rfam family "Archaeal small subunit ribosomal RNA", at positions 455 to 747 of the family's 1478-position model. The record is from RNAcentral.